GAUGAACGCUGGCGGCGUGCCUAAUACAUGCAAGUCGAGCGAACGGACGAGAAGCUUGCUUCUCUGAUGUUAGCGGCGCACGGGUGAGUAACACGUGUAUAACCUACCUAUAAGACUGGGAUAACUUCGGGAAACCGUAGCUAAUACCGGAUAAUAUUUUGAACCGCAUGGUUCAAAAGUGAAAGACGGUCUUGCUGGCACUUAUAGAUGGAUCCGCGCUGCAUUAGCUAGUUGGGAAGGUAACGGCUUACCAAGGCAACGAUGCAUAGCCGACCUGAGAGGGGGAUCGGCCACACUGGAACUGAGCCACGGUCCAGGGUCCUACGGGAGGCCGCAGUAGGGAAUCGUCCGCAGUGGGCGAGAGCCUGACGGAGCAACGCCGCGUGAGUGAUGAAGGUCUUCGGAUCGUAAAACUCUGUUAUUAGGGAAGAACAUAUGUGUAAGUAACUGUGCACAUCUUGACGGUACCUAAUCAGAAAGCCACGGCUAACUACGUG
This 497-nucleotide ribosomal RNA is filed under the name uncultured bacterium. RNAcentral describes it as "partial 16S ribosomal RNA". It matches the Rfam family "Bacterial small subunit ribosomal RNA", at positions 28 to 507 of the family's 1533-position model. The record is from RNAcentral.